AACGAACGCUGGCGGCAGGCCUAACACAUGCAAGUCGAGCGCACCCUUCGGGGCGAGCGGCGGACGGGUUAGUAACGCGUGGGAACGUACCCUUUUCUAUGGAAUAGCCUCGGGAAACUGAGAGUAAUACCAUAUAAGCCCUUCGGGGAAAGAUUUAUCGGGAAGGAUCGGCCCGCGUUAGAUUAGAUAGUUGGUGGGGUAAUGGCCUACCAAGUCUACGAUCUAUAGCUGGUUUUAGAGGAUGAUCAGCAACACUGGGACUGAGACACGGCCCAGACUCCUACGGGAGGCAGCAGUGGGGAAUCUUAGACAAUGGGCGCAAGCCUGAUCUAGCCAUGCCGCGUGUGUGAUGGAAGGUCUUAGGAUCGUAAAGCACUUUCGCCAGGGAUGAUAAUGACAGUACCUGGUAAAGAAACCCGGCUAACUCCGUG
RNAcentral lists this ribosomal RNA (431 nucleotides) under uncultured bacterium. Its description in RNAcentral is "bacterial SSU rRNA". It matches the Rfam family "Bacterial small subunit ribosomal RNA", at positions 29 to 507 of the family's 1533-position model. The record is from RNAcentral.